This 497-nucleotide ribosomal RNA is filed under the name uncultured bacterium. RNAcentral describes it as "partial 16S ribosomal RNA". It matches the Rfam family "Bacterial small subunit ribosomal RNA", at positions 28 to 507 of the family's 1533-position model. The record is from RNAcentral.
GACGAACGCUGGCGGCGUGCCUAAUACAUGCAAGUAGAACGCUGAAGAGAGGAGCUUGCUCUUCUUGGAUGAGUUGCGAACGGGUGAGUAACGCGUAGGUAACCUGCCUGGUAGCGGGGGAUAACUAUUGGAAACGAUAGCUAAUACCGCAUAAAAUUGAUUAUUGCAUGAUAAUUAAUUGAAAGAUGCAACUGCAUCACUACCAGAUGGACCUGCGUUGUAUUAGCUAGUUGGUGAGGUAACGGCUCACCAGGGCGACGAUACAUAGCCGACCUGAGAGGGUGAUCGGCCACACUGGGACUGAGACACGGCCCAGACUCCUACGGGAGGCAGCAGUAGGGAAUCUUCGGCAAUGGGGGGAACCCUGACCGAGCAACGCCGCGUGAGUGAAGAAGGUUUUCGGAUCGUAAAGCUCUGUUGUAAGAGAAGAACGGGUGUGAGAGUGGAAAGUUCACACUGUGACGGUAUCUUACCAGAAAGGGACGGCUAACUACGUG